RNAcentral lists this unclassified non-coding RNA (241 nucleotides) under Hevea brasiliensis (rubber tree). Lineage: Eukaryota; Viridiplantae; Streptophyta; Magnoliopsida; Malpighiales; Euphorbiaceae. The record is from RNAcentral.
GGUUCGGCUUGCUCGACUCAAUUCCUUUAAAACUUUUUUUUUUAAAUUAAUCAAACUUGAAUUUAUUGAUAUUAGGUUCGAAUUCCAUAUGAAUUGAACUUAAAUUCGGUUUGAACUCAAAAAUAUUUUGGAGAAUCAAGUUCUGAAAUUCUUCAAAACUCGGUUUGAUUCGUUUACCGCAUCCAGCAAGCUUGUUUAGGGCACAACGAUCUUAAUUUGAACAAACAUAUCUGAAACUGGA